AGCGGUUCCAUAUCAUUUCAGCAACGAGUAAUUUUCAUAUAUCUUUAUUUGGAUGAAACCUUGCAUACAAGUCUUUGGGGGAGAAAAACGCCGUUUUGCAUACUUGGUUCGCCAUUUUGAAUCUAGCCUUACUUAUGAGAAGGGCCUAUGAAAAAUGCACAUGAUAUCUUUAAAAAAUUGUAUCUCGAAAACGGUUUGUCCGAUCGGUUUGGUGUCUUCGGCGAAGUUUUAGACAAUUGUUGGUGCUGAUUUGAACUAAAAUAUAGAUUUUCCCUCAAAAGCGACAUGUCAAUAUUUUUUAUUAUCCUUAUGUUAUAGCUGACUGAAAAUGCUACCUAGUGCACAGUGGGUUGUUCUGGAGAAAAAUAGGUUACAAUGAAAAAAAAAAUGUUUUAAAAAAUUACGGUUUUCAAAAAAAGCUAUUAAGUAAAGUCAAAAAAGUUUGUCGCCCUAAUUUUAUGAAAGUACAUCAAAUUUGCAAGAAAAAAGUACUUCGGUAACAUUUUUCUAAGAUGCACCGUUUAGAAGAUAUUACUAAUUUAAUAUUGAUUUUUUUGAUAACUUAAUAAGUUUUAGCCCUUUUCGGAUGUACUCCGUGUUUCUCCAGUUUCAAAAGUAUUUUUUUCGGAAAGAUUGGAAAAUUUUGAGUUAAAAUGACACUGACAGCUUAAAGAUUUGAGUGAAAUUCUCUGCCUUAGAAGUAUUUUGAAACAAGUUACAAAAUCCCACUAUCAAGAACAAUGAUUUCUUCCAGUGGUUUUUAUUGCCUUCUGCUGAAAACGUGCUAAUAAGAUAUUAUAUUAUUAGAUACAGGUAAUUAGAUACCAGUUAGCUGUACUACGUACAGUUGGUGAUUGUAAACAUGGUCUUUGUUGGAACUAGUCCACCAUGGCCACGCUGGCCCAGGCUUGUAAACAUUCGACACUUUUCACUGCCUUCAUUUCGUUGUCGCGGUCGGGUGUCAGCUUGCUUUAUUUCAUUCGAACGCGACCGCUACCUCUUACACACAACACAAGCGGCAGAACAAAGAUCAAUAAACAAAAAAGUGGAUCAAAUCAACGUAGUCUGACACGAUGACAUUAGUAUAAUUCCAGCUUUUCGCAAGAUUUCAGCCAAUUUUGAUUAAAAUUGGUAUAAUAUUAGUAUAAUAUUAGUCACCUUCCAUCAAACUAGACGGCUGCCGACUGAUACCUCAAUCAACAACCGCCGCACUCUUUAUUCAUUCCAGGUAUAUACAAUUUACAAUCUUCUUCAAUAACAAUAUACCUACGCCAGCAAAUCUACCUCGCUCCAACUCUCCAAACUCGUACCUGACGAUACCUGAGCGUUCAACUCUACCUAUCUUCCAGCAGUCUUUACCCAGCAUUCUAUGAUUUAUACCCGUGAGCUGUAUAAUAAUGUCUGACUCGGUUCUGAAUUCAUCCAGUAUCUACUAGGGAAAACCAAACAGUAAAUGCAGAAAGGUUGCUAGAAGCAUAGUGAUUUCAUAGUAAUUUCAGCUAAUAAUCCAGUGUUUUUGAACUAGAUCCAGUGUUGUUUGAUAACAUAAUAAUUGUAAAGGAAAGUGUAACACGUUUUGGUGCAAAGAUUACAAAAUGAGUAAAAUCAGAUGUAUUCGUCCAUUCAAAGACAUUCAGUGUUCGAAAGAGCUGCGAUAUCUCACGGAUGGUAUCAUCCAAAAACUAAAGUCAAUUGGAUUUUCCAAGGUAUCCACACUGAACACCAAGGAUUUUCGUAUUUGUUCGUCUUGCCGUCUACAUAUUGAUUCAAGAGCUCACCUCACCCAAAACGAAGAACAAAGCGUAGCCGGUGGCUCAAGGAUGCCAACUGUUCAGACCAUACCUGUUGUACCUGAUUCGCAAAGCUAUGAAAGUUUGGUCACGAUACCAUCAGCGUCAACGCUAAGCACAAUUCAAUCAAAUGAAGACUUCACGAUGCCUGUAGACGUCGAAAUAUUCAACCGAGGAAUAGCAGCUAUUCGUGUUUCGCCUAUAGAUUUAGGUAA
Long non-coding RNA from Aedes albopictus (Asian tiger mosquito), 2005 nucleotides. RefSeq lists it as uncharacterized. NCBI's taxonomy places the organism in Eukaryota, Metazoa, Arthropoda, Insecta, Diptera, Culicidae. The record is from RefSeq and is a predicted model, not a curated record. The transcript is spliced from 2 exons.